GCUGCGGUCCCUGACUUGCCUGUUAUAACUUCCAAUAUUUUUUUAGAUUUGAGACGUAUGAUUCAAUGCCAUUUGCAAGUAAAUAGACCACGUAAUACCAUAAUCAAAAAACUUAGGUGAGAAGUUAGAUUAUACAAAAAAGAAUACACCUGCAGUCAUGUCUUACAAUUACAUCGUGACUGCACAAGAAGCAACAGCCAUCAAUGCAGCAGUGACAGGACAUUUCACUGGCCCUGAUGACUUAAACUUGAUAACUGCAAAGAAUUCUCGAUUAGAAGUGUACCUAGUAACACCAGAGGGACUUCAGCCAAAAAUGGAGAUGAAUAUAAAUGGUCGUAUUGCAACCAUGCAGUUAUUUCGACCGCCUAAUGAACCACAAGAUUUGUUGUUUUUGUUAACUGAAAGAUACCGUAUUGCAAUUUUGGGAUUUAAACCAGAAACAGGAGAUAUUGUUACAAAAGCAUAUGGAGAUGUACAAGAUAAGAUUGGUAGAUUAUGUGAUACUGGAAUGAUUGGUAUAAUAGACCCACAAUGCCGUGUAAUUGCGUUACAUAUAUAUGAUGGAUUGUUAAAAGUGAUACCAUUAGAACUUGGAACAAAUAUUGAGCUGAAGGCUUUUAAUAUAAGACUGGAAGAAUUAAAAAUUGUUGAUAUUCAGUUUCUGCAUGGUUUUGAUGUCCCAACAAUUAUUUUUGUCUACCAAGACACUCAUGGAAGACAUGUAAAAACUUAUGGUAUAUCUUUACGUGAUAAAGAGUUUGUUCGAGGACCUUGGAAACAAGACAAUGUUGAACUUGAAGCCUGCAUGGUUGUAACAGUACCCAGUCCCAUUGAAGGUGCAUUAAUCGUUGGAGAAGAAUCCAUUACAUAUCAUAAAGGUGAAACAUACUUGGCUGUUGCACCUCCAGCUAUAAAACAAAGCACUCUUACUUGUUACGGUCGUGUUGACAAAGAUGGAUUACGCUACCUUCUUGGAGAUAUGUCAGGUCGUCUGUUUAUGUUAUUUCUGGAGAAACAAACUCUGCCAGAUGGUAGUGUGGAAGUAAAAGAUUUAAAAGUUGAACUUUUGGGCGAGACUUCAAUUCCUCACUGUCUAACAUACUUAGACAAUGGUGUUGUUUUUAUUGGUUCCACUCUUGGAGAUUCUCAGAUUGUACAGCUUACAACAGAAGCCAAUGAAAAUGGCUCUUUUGUGUCUGUGAUGAAGUCAUUUCCAAAUUUGGGACCUAUUUUAGACAUGUGUGUUGUUGACCUAGAAAGACAAGGUCAAGGUCAGCUCGUCACAUGUUCUGGUGGACUUAAAGAAGGCUCCCUGCGAAUUAUUCGAAACGGAAUUGGAAUCCACGAACACGCUUCUAUUGAUUUAGAUGGAAUUAUGGGACUUUGGGCAUUAAAAGUUGGCUCAGUAAACACAGAAUUUGAUGACACAUUGGUUUUAUCUUUUGUUGGUCAAUCAAGAGUGUUAUCAUUAAGUAGUGAUGAAGUAGAAGAGAUUGAUAUUGAUGGGUUUGAUGGCGAUAAACAAACAACAUUUUGUGGUAAUGUGUGUUGUCAACAAAUUGUGCAGGUGACAGAACACUCAGCUCGACUCAUCAACUGUCUCACAAAAUCACUUGUCUACGAAUGGAAACAUGCUGGUGGUCGAAACAUUAGCGUGGUGGCUUGUUAUGGUCAGCAACUGUUACUUGCAGUUGGAAAAGAAGUAUUUUAUUUGGAAGUACAAGAUGGGAACUUGCACCAAGUCAGUUCAACUGUUUUGGAAUACGAAGUUGCUUGUCUUGACGUCACACCAGAAGUCAAAAAAGAGAAAUCAGACGUUGUUGCUGCGGGUUUGUGGACAGACAUCUCCAUUCGCAUAUUAAAGCUACCUACCAUGGAAGAAAUAUCAAAAGUUAAGCUCGGUGGAGAAAUCAUACCUCGAUCAAUCCAAAUGUCAAAUUUUGAAGGAAUUAAUUACUUGUUGUGUUCACUCGGUGAUGGUUCCUUGUUCUAUUAUAUUCACGACAGAACUACAGGUGCUUUAACUGAACAGAAGAAAGUCACACUUGGUACUAAACCAACUGUGAUUCAGCCUUUCAAAUCUGGCACCGCAACAAACGUGUUUGCAUGUUCAGACCGUCCUACCGUGAUAUACUCGAGCAAUCACAAACUAGUCUUUUCAAAUGUCAAUUUAAAAGAGGUGUGCUACAUGAGUCAACUUCAUUCUCAAACUUAUCCAAACAGUCUUGCUAUCGCCGACAAAAACUGUUUAACCUUUGGUUCGAUUGAUGAAAUCCAACAAAAACUUCAUAUCAGAAAAGUACCUUUAUAUGAAAGUCCAAGGAGGAUAGCUUACCAAGAAGCAACUCAGACAUUUGGUGUGAUAUCUGCUAGAACAGAAAUACGCGACCCUUACAGCGGUAAAAGUGUGGUGCAAAGACCCUCGGCCAGUUGUACGGCUUCUUCCAUCACAUACAGUUCUGGCGAUGCUAAUAAGGGAGUUCUAACUGGAACGAGUAAAGAUAUCGAGGGAGGAGCAAUAGGCGAAGAGAUCGAGGUAUCAUCCUUCCUCGUAAUCGAUCAGCACACGUUUGAAGUAACCCAUUCACACCAACUUCUUGACAAAGAAUAUGCAACUUCACUGACGACUUGUCAGCUAGCGAACGAUUCCAACAUUUAUUACUGUGUCGGAACAGCCAUGGUACAUCAAGAAGAACCCGAACCCAAAGAGGGCCGACUUAUUCUAUUUCAGUUAGUUGAAGGUAAGUUAAUACAAAUUUCAAGUAAAGAUGUGAAAGGAGCUGUGUACUCGUUAUUGGAGUUUAAUGGUAAAAUCUUGGCUGGCAUUAACAGUGCUGUUUCCAUCUACGAGUGGACGGCUGACAAAGAACUUCGUCAAGAGUGUUGUUAUCAUAACACGAUACUUGCAUUAUUUUUAAAAGCAAAAGGAGAUUUCAUAUUGGUUGGCGAUCUGAUGCGGUCUAUAACUCUUCUUUCAUACAAACCUUUGGAAGGUCGCCUUGAAGAGAUUGCGCAUGAUUUUUCACCAAAUUGGAUGACAGCUGUUGAAAUAAUCGACGAUGACACAUUUCUCGGUGCUGAGAAUUCUUAUAACUUGUUUACUUGUCAGAAAGACAGCGCUGCUACCAGUGACGAAGAUCGUCAUCAUCUGCAGCAAACGGGAAAAUAUCAUCUUGGUGACUUUGUGAAUGUUUUCAGACAUGGAUCACUGGUAAUGCAUCACACCAUAGAACAAUCAACACCCAUCUCAAACUCGAUUUUAUAUGGAACAGUUCGCGGCUCAAUCGGUCUUGUUGCUGGUUUGCCGAAAGACAUGUUCGACUUUUUGUCCCAAGUACAGAAGAAGUUGAGUUCUUAUAUCAAAAGCGUGGGUAAAAUAGAGCACUUAUUUUGGCGAUCCUUCCACAACGAUCGCAAAACAGAACCUGCCGUCGGUUGUAUUGAUGGCGAUCUGAUAGAAAGUUUUCUCGAUUUGCCGAGAGCACAAAUGAAAGAUAUUGUCAAUGGCUUACAAAUUAACGAAGAUGGAAUGAAAAGAGAUUGUACUGAAGAUGACCUAAUAAAGAUUGUAGAAGAACUUAACAGGAUCCAUUAAACACCGCGAACUUGGUCCACUAUAUCAUAUAGUUCCACGGAGACAAAUGCAAUUCCAUACAGUCAAAUUCUUAUGACGAAUCUCAGGAAAUGUAUAUAUAAAAAAAAACAUUGUUAUCUAGAAAUCGACUUUGAAGACCAUUCUGUGAAGAGCAGGUUCUCCUCUGCAUCUUUUUAACUAAGAACUGAAGCUGUAUUAAAAGUAUGAUUCUCCUGAAGGAUUAAAAUAAUACGGAGAUAGUGUUGAUUCACCAUGUACUUUGUCAAAAAAAAAAAUAAUAAUAGAAAAUCCACGAAAUUAAGUUCCACAAAUUAA
RNA transcript from Hydractinia symbiolongicarpus, 3910 nucleotides. It is a transcript of the gene named DNA damage-binding protein 1-like, with no coding region annotated. The record is from RefSeq and is a predicted model, not a curated record. Lineage: Eukaryota; Metazoa; Cnidaria; Hydrozoa; Anthoathecata; Hydractiniidae. The transcript is spliced from 31 exons.